AUGAACGCUGGCGGCGUGUUUUAGGCAUGCAAGUCAAGGGAACCCCGUCGCAAGACGGAGUAACCGGCAAACGGGAGCGUAACACAUUGGUAACUUACCUCUGACACGGGCAUAACUUGGAGAAAUCCGAACUAAUUCCCGAUAUGCUCAAUAAAUAAUUUUUAUUAAGCAAAGACGAAAGUCGGUCAGAGAGAGACCUAUGGUCCAUCAGCUUGUUGGUAGGGUAGUGGCCCACCAAGGCAAUGACGGGUAGCGGUUCUGAGAGGAUGAUCCGCCACACUGGUACUGAGACACGGACCAGACUCCUACGGGAGGCAGCAGUGAGGAAUAUUGCACAAUGGGGGGAACCCUGAUGCAGCAACGCCGCGUGGAGGAUGACGCAUUUCGGUGUGUAAACUCCUUUUAUAUGUCAAGAAAAUGACGGUAGCAUAUGAAUAAGCACCGGCUAACUCCGU
RNAcentral lists this ribosomal RNA (455 nucleotides) under uncultured bacterium. RNAcentral's name for it is "partial 16S ribosomal RNA". It matches the Rfam family "Bacterial small subunit ribosomal RNA", at positions 29 to 506 of the family's 1533-position model. The record is from RNAcentral.